This 514-nucleotide ribosomal RNA is filed under the name uncultured Glomus. RNAcentral describes it as "SSU rRNA". It matches the Rfam family "Eukaryotic small subunit ribosomal RNA", at positions 569 to 1086 of the family's 1831-position model. The record is from RNAcentral. Lineage: Eukaryota; Fungi; Glomeromycota; Glomeromycetes; Glomerales; Glomeraceae.
AGCAGCCGCGGUAAUUCCAGCUCCAAUAGCGUAUAUUAAAGUUGUUGCAGUUAAAAAGCUCGUAGUUGAAUUUCGGGGUUAGUAGGUUGGUCAUGCCUCUGGUAUGUACUGGUCUCACUGAUUCCUCCUUCCUGAUGAACCUUAAUGCCAUUAAUUUGGUGUUUUGGGGAAUUUGGACUGUUACUUUGAAAAAUUAGAGUGUUUAAAGCAAGCUAACGCUUGAAUACAUUAGCAUGGAAUAAUGAAAUAGGACGUUCGAUCCUAUUUUGUUGGUUUCUAGGAUUGACGUAAUGAUUAAUAGGGAUAGUUGGGGGCAUUAGUAUUCAAUUGUCAGAGGUGAAAUUCUUGGAUUUAUUGAAGACUAACUACUGCGAAAGCAUUUGCCAAGGAUGUUUUCAUUAAUCAAGAACGAAAGUUAGGGGAUCGAAGACGAUCAGAUACCGUCGUAGUCUUAACCAUAAACUAUGCCGACUAGGGAUCGGAUGAUGUUAAUUUUUAAUGACUCAUUCGGCGC